RNAcentral lists this non-coding RNA (27 nucleotides) under Mus musculus (house mouse). Lineage: Eukaryota; Metazoa; Chordata; Mammalia; Rodentia; Muridae. The record is from RNAcentral.
UGAAAAUUCCUAGGGAGCACAGAACUU